This 48-nucleotide non-coding RNA is filed under the name Schistosoma mansoni. Lineage: Eukaryota; Metazoa; Platyhelminthes; Trematoda; Strigeidida; Schistosomatidae. The record is from RNAcentral.
AUCCAGCUGACCAGUCUCGAAUAAGUCGAAACGCGCGUCAAACUGGAU